CAGGAUGAACGCUAGCUACAGGCUUAACACAUGCAAGUCGAGGGGCAGCAUUGGGAUAGCUUGCUAUUCAGAUGGCGACCGGCGCACGGGUGAGUAACGCGUAUCCAACCUUCCUGCCAGUAGGGAACAGCCCGGCGAAAGUCGGAUUAAUGCCCUAUGUUCUUCAAUGCGGACAUCUAAGUUGAAGGAAAGAUUCAUCGCUGGCAGAUGGGGAUGCGUCCGAUUAGCUUGCCGGCGGGGUAACGGCCCACCGGGGCGACGAUCGGUAGGGGUUCUGAGAGGAAGGUCCCCCACACUGGUACUGAGACACGGACCAGACUCCUACGGGAGGCAGCAGUGAGGAAUAUUGGUCAAUGGGCGUAAGCCUGAACCAGCCAAGUAGCGUGCCAGGAUGACGGCCCUACGGGUUGUAAACUGCUUUUAUGCGGGGAUAAAGUGCGGCACGUGUGCCGCUUUGCAGGUACCGCAUGAAUAAGGACCGGCUAAUUCCGUGCCAGCCGCCGC
Molecule: ribosomal RNA, 504 nt
Filed under: uncultured bacterium
Lineage: Bacteria
Description: bacterial SSU rRNA
Rfam family: Bacterial small subunit ribosomal RNA
Source: RNAcentral